This 330-nucleotide ribosomal RNA is filed under the name uncultured Ideonella sp. Its description in RNAcentral is "bacterial SSU rRNA". It matches the Rfam family "Bacterial small subunit ribosomal RNA", at positions 568 to 898 of the family's 1533-position model. Lineage: Bacteria; Pseudomonadati; Pseudomonadota; Betaproteobacteria; Burkholderiales; Sphaerotilaceae. The record is from RNAcentral.
UGCGCAGGCGGUCGUAAAAGACAGAUGUGAAAUCCCCGGGCUUAACCUGGGAACUGCAUUUGUGACUGUACGGCUGGAGUGCGGCAGAGGGGGAUGGAAUUCCGCGUGUAGCAGUGAAAUGCGUAGAUAUGCGGAGGAACACCGAUGGCGAAGGCAAUCCCCUGGGCCUGCACUGACGCUCAUGCACGAAAGCGUGGGGAGCAAACAGGAUUAGAUACCCUGGUAGUCCACGCCCUAAACUAUGUCAACUGGUUGUUGGGAAGGUUCCUUCUCAGUAACGAAGCUAACGCGUGAAGUUGACCGCCUGGGGAGUACGGCCGCAAGGUUGAA